AGGAUUGAGGGAGGCUUGAUGCAGAUGCAACUUAGACACGCAGCCUUGCUGGCGGAAGACCGCAGCCCAUGGCAGGUGGUGUUCAGAUCGGUAGCGAAGCGGCACCGUGCAUCGCUGAGGCCCAGACCCGGUCCUCUCCCCGCCGUCAUGGCUGCCGGAUCAGCUCUCCCGAGCCCCAUACGCAAACUCACCUCGGGCGCCCCGAGCUCGCGCAUGGAUUCGGCAAAGUACUUCAUGCCCAGAUCAAAGUCCUCGGGACUGAAGCCCCGCUGCUUGAUGAUGCGCAGGUGCGCGAUGCGGACCGACUUGCCCGUGUACGGCACGUUGGGGGGGCCGAACAGCCUGGAGGCAGCGCAAUAGGAGGUUUGGGUUUGGGUAGGAGAUGUGGUAUUGGGAAGAAGGGGCGGCGCGGGCGCUGGGCGCUAAGGAUGCGGCUGAGCGGCCAGUCGCCCAGUCGAUUCCCAGUCGGGGCCCAGCAGUACCCACAGGGCCUAGGCAGGAACCCAAGGGCCUAGGCAGGAGCCGCGGAGUGCUGGGCCUGUCACCCCCAAACUCAAACCAACUGACAAGAGUGCGCUGAAGGGAAGGCAAUACCAUCCAUGCAGGGCUGGUGUGGUGGACUUGAGGCAUGCACUCGCAGUGACACUCGCACACCCACGCCUUCGCCCUUGCAUGCGCACCAUGAGAUGAAGGCGGAUUGUUUGGCCCGCAGGUGCGUCAUUUCUUGAUCGUGCAGGAACUUUAUGAGUGAGGGGUCGGCGUAGAGGUGGCGGUAGAACAGCUCCACCACGUGCUUCACCACGUCGGAACC
Molecule: long non-coding RNA, 811 nt
Filed under: Chlamydomonas reinhardtii
Lineage: Eukaryota; Viridiplantae; Chlorophyta; Chlorophyceae; Chlamydomonadales; Chlamydomonadaceae
Description: long non-coding RNA (CREI_LNC001248)
Source: RNAcentral